Molecule: long non-coding RNA, 962 nt
Organism: Chenopodium quinoa (quinoa)
Lineage: Eukaryota; Viridiplantae; Streptophyta; Magnoliopsida; Caryophyllales; Amaranthaceae
Exons: 2
Source: RefSeq, a predicted model, not a curated record
AUAAUCAAUAUCAAUUAAACAAAAAUUAUAGGGCUCAACUACUCAACUCAAAUAGUCAAAUAUCCGGUCACAACUUCAGUUUCUAGAGGAAAAAUUCCCAAAUCGGCUAAUUAAAACCAAUCUUCAGUUUCUAAUCGGCUAAUCAUAUUAAAAUAAAUCGUUUGGGACUUAAAAAUUAUAAUGAAGACAAUUAGACAAAACUAUAACUAAACACAGUCAAAAGACUCAAAACCAAUCUUCAAUUUCUACUUUUUUAGACGAAAUUGUUUAGUUUAAGCAAACAAAAUGAUUAUACAGAUAGCAAGUACUUUAUUUGAGCACAAAUUCCACAUAAAUUAAGCUAAUUAAACUUCAAAACAAUCCUUAUUCACACAAAAAUCAGCUAAUCCUGACUACCCAUUAGUAGAUAACAAAACCCCUUCAACUUUCCGAGCAAAAACUGGCACAAAACACAAAUUUAAACAAAAAUGACAUAAUUAAAUCAACUAUAGAAAACCUACAUCAAAAAUCCCCAAAUCGUAAAUUAAAUUAGGCAAUUAGCAAAUGAAAAACACACAUGAAGCCAAACACAUUCAAAAUUCUAGCUACUUUGCAUAUCUAUAAGCACAAAUCGAACCUCACCAGUCACCAUCGCUACUCUCCACCACCACCAACAGUUACAAAUCGAAACCCUAGAAAUCGAAAAAAAAUCAAAGAUUUGAACUAGUAAUUAUGCAAAGAAACCUUAAAUUUGAAAUUUAAAGGGGAAAGUUUAAAGAAGCUCAUACCAUGAACACCAAAAAAAUCCUAGAAAUCAAACCACACAGUCGUUAUCUCUCACGACCACCAUGAGGCAUUAGUGAAUGAGGAGGGAGAAUGAAAGGGGAACGCGAAAUGUGGUUGCAGCUGCGGCGAGGAGAAGGUGAAAGGGGAACAGGCUGAAGUUAGAAUUUUUUAUUUUUUAUUUUUAUUAUUUUUUUUUU